This 1346-nucleotide ribosomal RNA is filed under the name uncultured bacterium. Its description in RNAcentral is "partial 16S ribosomal RNA". It matches the Rfam family "Bacterial small subunit ribosomal RNA", at positions 28 to 1381 of the family's 1533-position model. The record is from RNAcentral.
GACGAACGCUGGCGGCGUGCUUAACACAUGCAAGUCGAACGGAAAGGCCCUGCUUUUGUGGGGUGCUCGAGUGGCGAACGGGUGAGUAACACGUGAGUAACCUGCCCUUGACUUUGGGAUAACUUCAGGAAACUGGGGCUAAUACCGGAUAGGAGCUCCUGCUGCAUGGUGGGGGUUGGAAAGUUUCGGCGGUUGGGGAUGGACUCGCGGCUUAUCAGCUUGUUGGUGGGGUAGUGGCUUACCAAGGCUUUGACGGGUAGCCGGCCUGAGAGGGCGACCGGCCACAUUGGGACUGAGAUACGGCCCAGACUCCUACGGGAGGCAGCAGUGGGGAAUAUUGCACAAUGGGCGGAAGCCUGAUGCAGCAACGCCGCGUGCGGGAUGACGGCCUUCGGGUUGUAAACCGCUUUCGCCUGUGACGAAGCGUGAGUGACGGUAAUGGGUAAAGAAGCACCGGCUAACUACGUGCCAGCAGCCGCGGUGAUACGUAGGGUGCGAGCGUUGUCCGGAUUUAUUGGGCGUAAAGGGCUCGUAGGUGGUUGAUCGCGUCGGAAGUGUAAUCUUGGGGCUUAACCCUGAGCGUGCUUUCGAUACGGGUUGACUUGAGGAAGGUAGGGGAGAAUGGAAUUCCUGGUGGAGCGGUGGAAUGCGCAGAUAUCAGGAGGAACACCAGUGGCGAAGGCGGUUCUCUGGGCCUUUCCUGACGCUGAGGAGCGACAGCGUGGGGAGCGAACAGGCUUAGAUACCCUGGUAGUCCACGCUGUAAACGGUGGGUACUAGGUGUGGGGUCCAUUCCACGGGUUCCGUGCCGUAGCUAACGCUUUAAGUACCCCGCCUGGGGAGUACGGCCGCAAGGCUAAAACUCAAAGGAAUUGACGGGGCCCCGCACAAGCGGCGGAGCAUGCGGAUUAAUUCGAUGCAACGCGUAGAACCUUGCCUGGGUUUGACAUGGAUCGGGAGUGCUCAGAGAUGGGUGUGCCUCUUUUGGGGUCGGUUCACAGGUGGUGCAUGGCUGUCGUCAGCUCGUGUCGUGAGAUGUUGGGUUAAGUCCCGCAACGAGCGCAACCCUUGUUCACUGUUGCCAGCACGUUAUGGUGGGGACUCAGUGGAGACCGCCGGGGUCAACUCGGAGGAAGGUGGGGAUGACGUCAAGUCAUCAUGCCCCUUAUGUCCAGGGCUUCACGCAUGCUACAAUGGCUGGUACAGAGAGUGGCGAGCCUGUGAGGGUGAGCGAAUCUCGGAAAGCCGGUCUCAGUUCGGAUUGGGGUCUGCAACUCGACCUCAUGAAGUCGGAGUCGCUAGUAAUCGCAGAUCAGCAACGCUGCGGUGAAUACGUUCCCGGGGCU